GCCGGGCAUGGUGGCACAUGCCUGUAGUCCCAGUGGCUCGGGAGGCUGAGGCAGAAGGAUUAUGAGUUCAAAGCCAGUUUCAGCAAAAGGAAGGCAAUAAGCAACUCAGUGAGACCCUGUCUCUA
This 125-nucleotide small RNA is filed under the name Marmota monax (woodchuck). The record is from RNAcentral. Lineage: Eukaryota; Metazoa; Chordata; Mammalia; Rodentia; Sciuridae.